This 328-nucleotide ribosomal RNA is filed under the name Clostridioides difficile. RNAcentral describes it as "bacterial LSU rRNA". It matches the Rfam family "Bacterial large subunit ribosomal RNA", at positions 1769 to 2096 of the family's 2925-position model. Lineage: Bacteria; Bacillati; Bacillota; Clostridia; Peptostreptococcales; Peptostreptococcaceae. The record is from RNAcentral.
UCAGGUGGCCGCAGAGAAUAGGCCCAAGCGACUGUUUACCAAAAACAUAGGUUUCUGCUAAGUCGCAAGACGAUGUAUAGGAGCUGACGCCUGCCCGGUGCUGGAAGGUUAAGGGGAUCUGUUAGAGCAAUCGAAGCAGUGAACUUAAGCCCCAGUAAACGGCGGCCGUAACUAUAACGGUCCUAAGGUAGCGAAAUUCCUUGUCGGGUAAGUUCCGACCCGCACGAAAGGCGUAACGAUUUGGGCACUGUCUCAACAACCGACUCGGUGAAAUUGUAAUUCCGGUGCAGAUGCCGGAUACCUGCGACAGGACGGAAAGACCCCAUGG